GGCAAGAGGAAUAAAGAGAUAGACCACAAUAGAGAGAUAGGAAUAAACAGACCCCAAGAGAGAGAAAUGAGGAGUGAUGGAACAGAAGUGAAGAUAGGAGGAAUGAUGGAACAGAAGAGGAGAUAGGAGGAGUGAUGGAACAGAAGUGAAGAUAGGAGGAGUGAUGGAACAGAAGUGAAGAUAGGAGGAAGUGAUGGAACAGAAGAGGAGAUAGGAGGAAUGAUGGAACAGAAGAGAAGAUAGGAGGAAGUGAUGGAACAGAAGUGAAGAUAGGAGGAGUGAUGGAACAGAAGUGAAGAUAGGAGGAAGUGAUGGAACAGAAGAGGAGAUAGGAGGAGUGAUGGAACAGAAGUGAAGAUAGGAGGAGUGAUGGAACAGAAGUGAAGAUAGGAGGAAGUGAUGGAACAGAAGAGGAGAUAGGAGGAGUGAUGGAACAGAAUAGGAGAUAGGAGGAGUGAUGGAACAGAAGAGGAGAUAGGAGGAAUGAUGGAACAGAAGAGGAGAUAGGAGGAGUGAUGGAACAGAAUAGGAGAUAGGAGGAGUGAUGGAACAGAAGACGAGAUAGGAGGAAGUGAUGGAACAGAAGAGGAGAUAGGAGGAGUGAUGGAACAGAAUAGGAGAUAGGAGGAGUGAUGGAACAGAAGAGGAGAUAGGAGGAGUGAUGGAACAGAAGAGGAGAUAGGAGGAGUGAUGGAACAGAAUAGGAGAUAGGAGGAGUGAUGGAACAGAAGAGGAGAUAGGAGGAAGUGAUGGAACAGAAGAGGAGAUAGGAGGAGAUAUGGGAAUAACAGAAGCAGAUUUACAAACUCCUACAAUGACCAACAUCUCCUACGGCUUGGGGACAAAAUUAUACAAUUCUCCUAUGGAACUAUUCUUUCAUUUUCAUGUGCUAUAUUAGUAUUAGAUAAGAUCUUUAACUUGUAUAUGAAUCUUUGAGAUUGAUAUAAAGAAAAUGAUCAAAUAUCAGCAUCACUGCUCACAAAUCCUCAUCAUAACACCCAUCCUCCAUUUUA
This is a long non-coding RNA of Oncorhynchus keta (chum salmon), 1013 nucleotides long. RefSeq lists it as uncharacterized. NCBI's taxonomy places the organism in Eukaryota, Metazoa, Chordata, Actinopteri, Salmoniformes, Salmonidae. The record is from RefSeq and is a predicted model, not a curated record. The transcript is spliced from 4 exons.